GUUUGGAUUUCUUUUGUAAUUUUUACAUUUCUGACCAGAUAGAUACAUAUCGAGUUCUACGGUUCGGGUUCGGGUUCACUUUGGAUUUUGGAUUACAGAUUUUAUGUCCAUGUCUAAUUUCUUAUGCAGGGCUUGCUACCCACAAAAUCACUUAUUGGUUAUUUUUCUACAAUGGAUGAAAAGAUUAAAAUUUACGUUUUUUUGGAAUUUGACAAUUCGUAAAAACAUUCAUUUUCUUGAAAAUUGUAGAACAAACAUUUUGCUGUUCUAUAACGUAACACAGAACAGCAUUAAAUUUGGAAUGUUUCCAAAGCUACAAGAAAAAAGGAUGCCAUCUCUAACGAAAACAAAAGGUAUUCUUCAUGAAAAAUACCAUCUCUAAGUUAUAUAAGGUCGCAAAAAUAUUUGUAUGAAUAUGAAGUUUAGGAUCCAAUAUAACGAUAAGCAGCUUGCAUUUUAUUGAAUAUAUUAAUGGACUGUUAGAAAAACGUCAACAAUUUUUUUUAAAGAAAAACUUCACCAAAAGUCAAAAACUAAGUAGAAAAUACAGAAGACAAACAAGGUAUAUGAUAUAUGUAAUUUUUGUUACUGUUAACUGCGGUGUGGAACGGAGGGGUUCGUAACAUUCGAAGCCUAAUGUUUUAGAGUAUAAGUAGUACAGCUUUGCUGCAUACAAAAGCUAGGUUCCGAAUGGUGACUGCGGUUUGAGCGGUGCGGGACAAGCGGUUUAACUGGGAUGCAGUUUUAACAGUUAUAAAAACGUAUAGAUAUAAAAUAUAUGUAGAGAUUUUUGUUACUGUUAAUUGCGGUGUGGAACAGAGCGGUUGUAAACAUUCGAAGCCUAAGAUUCUUGUUCGUAACUAGUACUCACAAGUCAACAAAGUAUCAAUAAAUAAUCAUCAAAACAUGUCAGUUGUAAUAUUUAAUUAUGAUUUAUGAAAAAAAAUCAGGCGUAGAAAAUACAGAAGACAAACAAACAAGAAAGUAAAACGGAUUCCUUGACUUAUGUGCUAUAUAUAGAAGUAAAACAGAUUCCCUGACCUAUGUGCUAUAUAGUCAUCUUAUAACAUCUUAGAACGGCCAUGCGUUCAAUCAUGAUUAAUACUUCCUAUGUUUCAGUUUAGUCUAAAACCACCAAUAUUAAAAAAAAUGUUACAUUUCUAAAAGUAAUAUUCAAUCAACAAAUUCAACCAAUUAUAAAAAAUCUAACAUCCAAUAAUUAAAAAUUACACUGAAAACUAACUUAUAUUUUGACAAAAAAAUUGUCUAAAAACUAGCCGUAUGCUUUGGAAGAAGCUUGUACAGUUUGGGAAGGGGUUUUGAUUGAUCAAAAAGAAAAAUCUAUUUCAACCGAUAUGCCCUUAGGCACGGCCAUACAUAAUAUAGAAAUCACACUUGGAAAGGGUGAACAAUUAGCUAGAGCAGCGGGUGCUGUAGCGAAACUGAUUGCAAAAGAGGGAAAAUCGGCCACAUUAAAAUUACCUUCUGGAGAGAUCCGUUUGAUAUCCAAAAACUGCUAUAUAAUAUGAAACAAAAAUACAAAGAAAUAAAAGAAUUAAUUAUAUGAAAAAAUGAAAACAAAAGAAAAUGAGAUUAUUAAGGAAGUUGCGUUUUGUUGAGAAUCAGAUAAAAUUUCUAGUAUUUUCCAGUCACGUUUACUGUAUAUAUAAUAUUUUUACUUCUGUCUUGUCCAUGCAUGUUCACAAAUUUGUCUUUGCUUAUUAAUGUCAAACGUCAUUCUCCAUGAUAAAAACAAAAUCUGUUCUUUUCAAAAAAAAUCUUGUUAGAUAUUGUUGUGUGUAAUAUUUUGCAAUAAUCUUCACACAUAUCAAGUUCCAGGCAUGGGACUACACUAGCAAAAUAUGUGAAACUGUGAUAUAUUUAUUCACUAUAGAAAAUAAUGCUAAUUAUCCACUUUAAAACUGUGAUUCCUAAUCGCUUUAUUCGUAAACCCUAACGGCAAUUUGGGUUUUUACUGAUGGAUUUCUCCAACGGUUCUAGCGAUGGAAUACUAGAAGAUUAAUGCGUCUACAAUUAUUAUAUGGGAUGCAUGUAUACUGUUGGAUCAAGUUCUCGGAUAAUUCAUUAUGCUAGAUUGUCUUUAAUAAAAUAUAUUUAAUUAUCAUAAUAAAUAUAUGUAAUUUUUAAUUUUUAAUAACUUUUAAUCAAUAGAUUCAAUAAAGUCAAUUUUUUUUUGAAGUUUACAAUUUUUCAAAAAAAGAAAAAAAACACAUUUUUCUAAAACAUUUUUUUCUUCUAAAAAAACUAUCUUAAUGAAAUGAAGAGAGUAUAAUAUAAUUUUGAGUGAUGAUGUGUGAUAGCUGAUAGAAAAAGUCAGCAUGGUUUAUUAUUGAUGUUGUUAUGAUAAUAAUUUAAGGAUUCAAAUGAAUUGAAUCUCCAUAAUUAACACAAAAAAGUAUAAACAUGUGUCGGUUUACUAAACCUCAAGCUAUUAAAUUAGUUUUGAGAGUGGAAGUGAACCAAACAUUUGUGAAAAAGUGAAGAAAGAGAGGACAAGAAGAAGAAGACAAUGUGAGCACUAAUUACUUGUUCUGCUUGAACACCCCACACAGUCUUCCUAGAAUAUUCAGUUUUAUCAGUAUUUAAUCAAAAUACUAUAUUGUUAGCAAAACAUAUUUUUUUUGUUAAAAAGCAUCUUUGAAAAUUAUUAUGUAUCAAAUAAAUUAAAAAUAUUUUCCAUAUUUAUAAUGGGGAAACAUGUUUUAUGUCGUGUAAUAUAUUACACAUGUAAUAUUCAUAAAUCAAAGUAGUAAGUUGUAUUUUCCAAGCUCAAAAUUUAUAAUUUUUACAAAAUACGUGUUUUGCUACUUUGUAUUAGGUGACUUUCUUGAUUUGUGUUUUUAUUAUUCAAACAAAAAGAUGAAUUAUAUAUAAAAAUAUGGCGACAAAAAGAAAUGAGAAAACAAACUUAAAGCAAUAACCCAAAACACAUACAAUAUGGCCCAGUCAAGAUUGGUCACUAAAAUCCAUUAGUACACUUACUAUUCCCUGAAAAGGGUCUCCACCACGAAACUUGUUCGAAAAAAAAACGGAAAAAAACUGUCAGAUUUAUUUUGUUUCUUCGUUGGUGUCUCUUUGUUAUCCCGACUUCUUCGAGGUUCAUAGCGACCGAAACCUUAACGAAAUCAAGAAAAGAAGAAGUUGUUUUCUGUUUAUGAAAACAGUUCAUUCUAUUCGCAAAGUCAAUCUAUCUACUAUUUAUUAGCUCAGCCAUCACCUGAGAAUCUUUCAAGACACACAAUCCAAAAGUAGUCUUUCUAGACAUUGGAAUGAGUUUUUUAGUCUGGGCAAAUUUGUUGUGAAGAUUAUUGAAUCACCCAGUAGCUCCCCGAGAUAGUUGGAGGUUCCCUUCAGACAUGCUCGGAUGCCUCUUCAAGUAACCGCUACUUAUACAUUGAGUUCACUAAAUAAUAUGUUUGCCUGUGACAGAUCGAAUUGUUUUUUAUGUUUGUCUUCAGGACUCAAUUGUUGUCACUGCCGUAUUUGAAGAAACCUUCAAUUGUUGUCACUGCCGUAUUUUAUGUUUGUCUUCAGGACUCAAUCAUAUCACCCUAUUAAAGAGAAAUAUGAUAUAGUAAGAAACCUUAAGCUCAAUAUGAGAGAAUAACGUAAGUUUGUAAGCAAUAUAAGAAUUCAUAUAAACUUACUCUAGAAUCCAUCCGCAGCUGAAUACUGCUUCCACAGCUGGAUGAUCUUAACCUUGACCUUCCACAUAGACAUGAAAGGCCUCAAAUCAGAGAUAUUAUUCAUCGUCGCUUUUUUGUUUUGUUUUUGAGUUAUGUUGCUCUGGUUUGGUGAAUGAAGAAAUGACUGACAUCAUACGCGGUUUAUAUAGGAUGGAAAACAUGCAAUCAAAGAGAAUAUAUGCGAAAUCUAAGAUAAUAAAUGGAAUAAAGUUAGCUUGUCAAUCAAGUAUAACUCGUCCCAUAAUACAUUCCCCGAUUACCAUAUAUUUUUCAUUGAUUUCAUAUUCUCUUAAAAUUUAGUAUUGACUUUGCGGAUUGAUCAGAAAUGUUUACCAUAUAUAAGAGUAUUGUGGUUUAUAAAUAAAAAUAUAGUGAAGAAUAUAUAUACACUUACCUAAAUUAAGAAGGCCACAUCGUUCGUAUUUAACAUGCAUUCAAUUUAAGGCAAUUAAAAGAGUAAAGUUAGCCUGUCAAUCACUUAGAGCUCGUCCCAUAAUAUAUUCUCUGUUUACCAUAGAUAGGUCAUUGAUACAAUAUUAUCUAUAAAUUUAUUAGUGACUUGAGAAACAAACAUAAACGUUACCAUAUAUAAGAGAUAUUAUGGGUUAGAACUAAUCAAUUUAGUGAAGAAUAUACACUUACCUAAACGUUUACCUUCGUAUUAAAGAGACAUACUUAAGUUAGUUAUUAGGCUAGAUACAUCCCUUUAUUAUAUUAAUUGCAUGAACCGGCAUACAAUUGUUUUGCAAAUCCAAAGAAAGUGGUUUAAAUUUUACAAAUCUCGGUUUAAGGUUUAAACUUAAAAAAUUGAUAUGAACUUUAUUAAGCUAGAUAUUCUCCUUUCAUAGAAAAACUUUGACAUAGUUAAAAAGUUGUGUGAAUAUGAGAAAGAACAAUGAAUCUACUUUUUUGUCAAAUGUAUCUAAAAUUGCGAAGUCAUCGUUCUUUCUAAGUAGUUUUGUCUAUUUGAUUGUUUAUCAACAAAAUAUAUAAUAUGGCCGUCAUGGAUGCUAAAUCGUGCAGGUUGAAAGAAAAAAAACUUAUAUGGCACUCUAUUAGGCUAGAUACAUUAAAAUCCAAAGAAAGUUAUGUUGUUAAAAAGUGAUGUUAAUAUGA
Molecule: long non-coding RNA, 4823 nt
Organism: Brassica napus (rape)
Lineage: Eukaryota; Viridiplantae; Streptophyta; Magnoliopsida; Brassicales; Brassicaceae
Exons: 3
Source: RefSeq, a predicted model, not a curated record